Molecule: small nucleolar RNA, 91 nt
Organism: Paramormyrops kingsleyae
Lineage: Eukaryota; Metazoa; Chordata; Actinopteri; Osteoglossiformes; Mormyridae
Product: small nucleolar SNORD12/SNORD106
Source: Ensembl
UUUGGUGUUGAUGAUGACUGACUUUUUUCCCCAGCAGAUCGACCCUGUUGACUGCCAGUAUUUUUAAGCCAUAUCUGUCUGAUUCACCAAA